Molecule: ribosomal RNA, 426 nt
Filed under: uncultured Paraglomeraceae
Lineage: Eukaryota; Fungi; Glomeromycota; Glomeromycetes; Paraglomerales
Description: bacterial SSU rRNA
Rfam family: Eukaryotic small subunit ribosomal RNA
Source: RNAcentral
GGGAGGUAGUGACAAUAAAUAACAAUACGGGGCUCUUUAGGGUCUCGUAAUUGGAAUGAGUACAAUUUAAAUCCCUUAACGAGGAACAAUUGGAGGGCAAGUCUGGUGCCAGCAGCCGCGGUAAUUCCAGCUCCAAUAGCGUAUAUUAAAGUUGUUGCAGUUAAAAAGCUCGUAGUUGAACCUUAGGCCCGUGCGGGUGGUCCGUCCUCAGGGCGAGCACUGCCUCGUCGCGGGUCUCACCUUCUGGCGAGCGCGGAUGCCAUUCGUUUGGUGCCCGCGGGAACCAGGACCUUUACCUUGAAAAAAUUAGAGUGCUCAAAGCGGGCUCAGACGCUUGAAUACAUUAGCAUGGAAUAAUGAAAUAGGACGAUGGUUCUAUUUUGUUGGUUUCCGGGACCGUCGUAAUGAUUAAUAGGGAUAGUUGGG